This 405-nucleotide ribosomal RNA is filed under the name uncultured bacterium. RNAcentral's name for it is "bacterial SSU rRNA". It matches the Rfam family "Bacterial small subunit ribosomal RNA", at positions 355 to 776 of the family's 1533-position model. The record is from RNAcentral.
UAGGGAAUAUUGCACAAUGGGCGAAAGCCUGAUGCAGCAACGCCGCGUGCGCGAUGAAGGCCUUCGGGUCGUAAAGCGCUUUUUGGGGAGAUGAGGAAGGACAGUAUCCCCAGAAUAAGGCUCGGCUAACUACGUGCCAGCAGCCGCGGUAAAACGUAGGAGCCAAGCGUUAUCCGAAUUCACUGGGCGUAAAGCGCGUGCAGGCGGUACGAUAAGUUGGAUGUGAAAUCUCCUGGCUCAACUGGGAGAGGACGUUCAAUACUGUCGAACUAGAGGACAGCAGAGGGAGGUGGAAUUCCCGGUGUAGUGGUGAAAUGCGUAGAUAUCGGGAGGAACACCAGUGGCGAAAGCGGCCUCCUGGGCUGUGCCUGACGCUCAGACGCGAAAGCUAGGGGAGCAAACGGG